GGCGCGAACCCACGUAGGUAAAAACUGCGGGGAUGAGCUGUGGGUAGGGGUGAAAGGCCAAUCAAACUCCGUGAUAGCUGGUUCUCCCCGAAAUGCAUUUAGGUGCAGCGUCGUAUGAGCUUGGUGGAGGUAGAGCGACUGGUUGGUUGAGCGGGACUACAAUCUUAGCAAUGUCAGCCAAACUCCGAAUGCCAUCAAUUGUGUUGUGCGGCAGUGAGACUGUGGGGGAUAAGCUUCAUAGUCGAGAGGGAAACAGCCCAGAUCGCCGGUUAAGGCCCCUAAGGGUGUACUAAGUGGAAAAGGAUGUGGGAUCGCGAAGACAGCCAGGAGGUUGGCUUAGAAGCAGCCAUCCUUGAAAGAGUGCGUAAUAGCUCACUAGUCAAGCGCUCUCGCGCCGAAAAUGAACGGGGCUAAGCGAUGUACCGAAGCUGUGGGAUAUAUCUAUCGAUGUAUCGGUAGGGGAGCGUUCCGUAUUAGGUAGAAGCACUAGCGGCGAGCAGGUGUGGACGAAACGGAAGUGAGAAUGUCGGCUUGAGUAGCGCAAACAUUGGUGAGAAUCCAAUGCCCCGAAACCCUAAGGGUUCCAGAGCCAGGUUCGUCCCCUCUGGGUUAGUCAGGUCCUAAGGCGAGGUCGAACGGCGUAGUCGAUGGACAACGGGUGAAUAAUCCCGUACUCAAUUGAAUUUGUGCAGAGGGACGGAGGAGGCAAAUGUCAGCCGGAUGUUGGUUACCGGUUCAAGCGUCAAGGUGAUGAGAGUCGGUGAAAACGAUUCGAGCCAAGACGGGAGUACGACCCGAUACGUCGGGGAAGUGGCAUAGUCUGACUUCCAAGAAAAGCUCUAAACACGUUAAGUUCAGUUGACCUGUACCCGAAACCGACACAGGUAGGGUGGUUGAGAAUACUAAGGGGCGCGAGAUAACUCUCUCUAAGGAACUCGGCAAAAUGGCCCCGUAACUUCGGAAGAAGGGGUGCCCACCGUAACAAGUGGGUCGCAGUGAAGAGAUCCAGGCGACUGUUUACCAAAAACACAGGUCUCCGCAAACUCGAAAGAGAAAGUAUGGGGGCUGACGCCUGCCCAGUGCCGGAAGGUUAAGGAAGUCGGUCAGGGGGAAACCCUAAAGCUGGCGACUGAAGCCCCGGUGAACGGCGGCCGUAACUAUAACGGUCCUAAGGUAGCGAAAUUCCUUGUCGGGUAAGUUCCGACCCGCACGAAAGGCGUAACGAUCUGGAUGGUGUCUCAGAGAGAGACUCGGCGAAAUAGG
This 1263-nucleotide ribosomal RNA is filed under the name Haliclystus auricula. Its description in RNAcentral is "bacterial LSU rRNA". It matches the Rfam family "Bacterial large subunit ribosomal RNA", at positions 771 to 2044 of the family's 2925-position model. The record is from RNAcentral. Lineage: Eukaryota; Metazoa; Cnidaria; Staurozoa; Stauromedusae; Haliclystidae.